AGGAUGAACGCUAGCGGCAGGCCUAAUACAUGCAAGUCGAGGGAUAGUAUCGUAGCAAUAUGAUAUGAAACCGGCGCACGGGUGCGUAACACGUAUGCAACCUACCUUUCACUGGGGAAUAGCUCCGAGAAAUCGGAAUUAAUACCCCAUAACAUUACGACCUGGCAUCAGGAUGUAAUUAAAGCUCCGGCGGUGAUUGAGUGGGCAUGCGUUGCUAUUAGCUAGUUGGUGAGGUAAAGGCUCACCAAGGCUACGAUGCAGUAGGGGGGUCUGAGAGGAUGACUCCCCCACUACGUGGUACUGAGACCACCGGACCACGUACCUACCGUA
RNAcentral lists this ribosomal RNA (330 nucleotides) under uncultured soil bacterium. RNAcentral's name for it is "bacterial SSU rRNA". It matches the Rfam family "Bacterial small subunit ribosomal RNA", at positions 26 to 347 of the family's 1533-position model. The record is from RNAcentral.